RNAcentral lists this ribosomal RNA (492 nucleotides) under uncultured bacterium. RNAcentral's name for it is "partial 16S ribosomal RNA". It matches the Rfam family "Bacterial small subunit ribosomal RNA", at positions 29 to 507 of the family's 1533-position model. The record is from RNAcentral.
AGUGAACGCUGGCGGUAGGCCUAACACAUGCAAGUCGAACGGCAGCACAGUAAGAGCUUCCUCUUACGGGCGACCAGUGGCGGAAUACAGCGGAAUACACCGAAACCUACUGUUUCGUGGGGCAUAACCUAGGCUAACAUCCCCUACUACCGCAUACUAACUACGGGUGAAAGCAAGGCCUCUUCGGACCUUACCCGAUUGUAUCAGCCGAUGUCGGAUUAGCUAGUUGGCGGGGUAAAGGCCCACCAAGGCGACGAUCCGUAGCUGGUCUGAGAGGAUGAUCAGCCACACUGGAACUGAGACACGGUCCAGACUCCUACGGGAGGCAGCAGUGGGGAAUAUUGGACAAUGGGCGCAAGCCUGAUCCAGCAAUACCGCGUGGGGGAAGAAGGCCUUCGGGUUGUAAAGCCCUUUUGUUGGGAAAGAAAAGCAGCAGGUUAAUACCUCGCGGAUCUGACGGUACCCAAAGAAUAAGCACCGGCUAACUUCGUG